AAUGUCAAUUGGUAGAGGAGCAUUCUUAACGGGGCGAAGCUGUACCGGAAGGAGCAGUGGACUGUUAAGAAGAGAGAAUGCCGGAAUGAGUAGCGAGAGGAAGGUGAGAAUCCUUCCGGCCGAAUAUCUAAGGUUUCCAGAGUAAAGCUGAUCUGCUCUGGGUAAGUCGGGGCCUAAGGCGAGGUCGAAAGACGUAGUCGAUGGAUAACAGGUAAAGAUUCCUGUACUAUAUCAUAACAGAACUGUGGGGACGCAGACAGAGAGCAUAAGCCGGGAAUGGAAAAACCGGUACAAGCGAGGUAGGAGUGCAUCAGGCAAAUCCGGUGCACAAUCUGAAGACGUGAUGUGGGGCGUAAAGCCGGAAGUAUGUGAGCUGGCUGCCAAGAAAAGCCGCUAUUGUUUAUGAUAUACCCGUACCGUAAACCGACACAGGUGGAUGAGGAGAGAAUCCUAAGGCCGACGGGAGAAGCAUUGUUAAGGAACUCGGCAAAAUGACUCCGUAACUUCGGGAGAAGGAGUGCCAUGUAAAAGUGGCCGCAGAGAAUUGGCCCAAGCAACUGUUUAGCAAAAACACAGGUCUAUGCAAAACCGAAAGGUGAGGUAUAUGGGCUGACGCCUGCCCGGUGCUGGAAGGUUAAGGGGAGAGGUUAGUCGUAAGGCGAAGCUUUGAACUUAAGCCCCAGUAAACGGCGGCCGUAACUAUAACGGUCCUAAGGUAGCGAAAUUCCUUGUCGGGUAAGUUCCGACCCGCACGAAAGGCGUAAUGAUUUGGGCACUGUCUCAACAAUGCACCCGGUGAAAUUGAAAUACCAGUGAAGAUGCUGGUUACCUGCGCCAGGACGGAAAGACCCCAUGGAGCUUUACUCCAGCUUGAUACUGGGAUUCGAUAUUGCAUGUACAGGAUAGGUGGGAGACUUUGAACUCAUGACGCCAGUCGUGAGGGAGUCACUGUUGGGAUACCACCCUUGUAGUAUUGGAUUUCUAACCAGCAGCCGUGAUCCGGCUGGGGGACAAUGUCAGGUGGGGAGUUUGACUGGGGCGGUCGCCUCCGAAAGGGUAUCGGAGGCGCUCAAAGGUUCCCUCAGAAUGGUUGGAAACCAUUCGAAGAGUGCAAAGGCAGAAGGGAGCUUGACUGCGACACCGACGGGUGGAGCAGGUACGAAAGUAGGACUUAGUGAUCCGGUGGUAUAAAGUGGGAUUGCCAUCGCUCAACGGAUAAAAGCUACCCUGGGGAUAACAGGCUUAUCACUCCCAAGAGUUCACAUCGACGGAGUGGUUUGGCACCUCGAUGUCGGCUCAUCGCAUCCUGGGGCUGAAGUAGGUCCCAAGGGUUGGGCUGUUCGCCCAUUAAAGCGGUACGCGAGCUGGGUUCAGAACGUCGUGAGACAGUUCGGUCCCUAUCCGGCGUGGGCGUAGGAUAUUUGAGAGGAGCUGCCCUUAGUACGAGAGGACCGGGGUGGACUGGCCGCUGGUGGAUCUGUUGUAUUACCAAAUGCAUGGCAGAGUAGCCAAGCCGGGACGGGAUAAACGCUGAAGGCAUCUAAGCGUGAAGCCCCCCUCAAGAUGAGAUAUCCCAUAACGUCAAGUUAGUAAGACCCCUUGAAGACGACGAGGUAGAUAGGGCAGAGGUGGAAGUGUGGUAAC
Molecule: ribosomal RNA, 1644 nt
Filed under: Mediterraneibacter gnavus
Lineage: Bacteria; Bacillati; Bacillota; Clostridia; Lachnospirales; Lachnospiraceae
Description: partial 23S ribosomal RNA
Rfam family: Bacterial large subunit ribosomal RNA
Source: RNAcentral